UACGGAGGAUGCGAGCGUUAUCCGGAUUUAAUGGGUUUAAAGGGUGCGUAGGCGGGAUGCCAAGUCAGCGGUAAAAAUGCGGUGCUCAACGCCGUCGAGCCGUUGAAACUGGCGUUCUUGAGUGGGCGAGAAGUAUGCGGAAUGCGUGGUGUAGCGGUGAAAUGCAUAGAUAUCACGCAGAACUCCGAUUGCGAAGGCAGCAUACCGGCGCCCUACUGACGCUGAGGCACGAAAGCGUGGGUAUCGAACAGG
RNAcentral lists this ribosomal RNA (252 nucleotides) under uncultured bacterium. RNAcentral describes it as "partial 16S ribosomal RNA". It matches the Rfam family "Bacterial small subunit ribosomal RNA", at positions 524 to 776 of the family's 1533-position model. The record is from RNAcentral.